CAAAGUAUAGCUUAACUAAAAGCAUUCGGCUUACACCCGAAAGAUUUCAAUUAUAUUGACUGCUUUGA
Molecule: transfer RNA, 68 nt
Filed under: Makalata didelphoides (Red-nosed armored tree-rat)
Lineage: Eukaryota; Metazoa; Chordata; Mammalia; Rodentia; Echimyidae
Description: tRNA-Val
Rfam family: tRNA
About the family: Transfer RNA (tRNA) molecules are approximately 80 nucleotides in length. Their secondary structure includes four short double-helical elements and three loops (D, anti-codon, and T loops). Further hydrogen bonds mediate the characteristic L-shaped molecular structure. tRNAs have two regions of fundamental functional importance: the anti-codon, which is responsible for specific mRNA codon recognition, and the 3' end, to which the tRNAs corresponding amino acid is attached (by aminoacyl-tRNA synthetases). tRNAs cope with the degeneracy of the genetic code in two manners: having more than one tRNA (with a specific anti-codon) for a particular amino acid; and 'wobble' base-pairing, i.e. permitting non-standard base-pairing at the 3rd anti-codon position.
Source: RNAcentral